AAUCAACGCUGGCGGCGUGCCUAACACAUGCAAGUCGAACGAGAAAGAGGGGGCAACCCCUUGAGUAAAGUGGCGACCGGGUGAGUAACACGUGACUAACCUACCUUUCAGUGGGGAAUAACCUCGGGAAACCGGGGCUAAUACCGCAUAACAUCCUGUGGUUGAGAUACCGUUGGAUCAAAGGAGCAAUUCGCUGAUAGAGGGGGUCGCGGCAGAUUAGCUAGUUGGCGGGGUAAUGGCCCACCAAGGCAUUGAUCUGUAGCCGGCCUGAGAGGGCGCACGGCCACACUGGAACUGAAACACGGUCCAGACUCCUACGGGAGGCAGCAGUGGGGAAUUUUGCGCAAUGGGGGAAACCCUGACGCAGCAAUGCCGCGUGGAGAUGAAGUCCUUUGGGAUGUAAACUCCUUUCGAUCGGGAAGAUAAUGACGGUACCGAAGAAGAGGCCCCGGCUAACUCUGUGCCAGCCGCCGCAGUAAU
RNAcentral lists this ribosomal RNA (480 nucleotides) under uncultured bacterium. RNAcentral's name for it is "bacterial SSU rRNA". It matches the Rfam family "Bacterial small subunit ribosomal RNA", at positions 32 to 524 of the family's 1533-position model. The record is from RNAcentral.